GGGUUGUGAGGUUAAGCGACUAAGCGUACACGGUGGAUGCCCUGGCAGUCAGAGGCGAUGAAGGACGUGCUAAUCUGCGAUAAGCGUCGGUAAGGUGAUAUGAACCGUUAUAACCGGCGAUUUCCGAAUGGGGAAACCCAGUGUGUUUCGACACACUAUCAUUAACUGAAUCCAUAGGUUAAUGAGGCGAACCGGGGGAACUGAAACAUCUAAGUACCCCGAGGAAAAGAAAUCAACCGAGAUUCCCCCAGUAGCGGCGAGCGAACGGGGAGCAGCCCAGAGCCUGAAUCAGUGUGUGUGUUAGUGGAAGCGUCUGGAAAGGCGCGCGAUACAGGGUGACAGCCCCGUACACAAAAAUGCACAUACUGUGAGCUCGAUGAGUAGGGCGGGACACGUGGUAUCCUGUCUGAAUAUGGGGGGACCAUCCUCCAAGGCUAAAUACUCCUGACUGACCGAUAGUGAACCAGUACCGUGAGGGAAAGGCGAAAAGAACCCCGGCGAGGGGAGUGAAAAAGAACCUGAAACCGUGUACGUACAAGCAGUGGGAGCACGCUUAGGCGUGUGACUGCGUACCUUUUGUAUAAUGGGUCAGCGACUUAUAUUCUGUAGCAAGGUUAACCGAAUAGGGGAGCCGAAGGGAAACCGAGUCUUAACUGGGCGUUAAGUUGCAGGGUAUAGACCCGAAACCCGGUGAUCUAGCCAUGGGCAGGUUGAAGGUUGGGUAACACUAACUGGAGGACCGAACCGACUAAUGUUGAAAAAUUAGCGGAUGACUUGUGGCUGGGGGUGAAAGGCCAAUCAAACCGGGAGAUAGCUGGUUCUCCCCGAAAGCUAUUUAGGUAGCGCCUCGUGAAUUCAUCUCCGGGGGUAGAGCACUGUUUCGGCAAGGGGGUCAUCCCGACUUACCAACCCGAUGCAAACUGCGAAUACCGGAGAAUGUUAUCACGGGAGACACACGGCGGGUGCUAACGUCCGUCGUGAAGAGGGAAACAACCCAGACCGCCAGCUAAGGUCCCAAAGUCAUGGUUAAGUGGGAAACGAUGUGGGAAGGCCCAGACAGCCAGGAUGUUGGCUUAGAAGCAGCCAUCAUUUAAAGAAAGCGUAAUAGCUCACUGGUCGAGUCGGCCUGCGCGGAAGAUGUAACGGGGCUAAACCAUGCACCGAAGCUGCGGCAGCGACGCUGAUGCGUUGUUGGGUAGGGGAGCGUUCUGUAAGCCUGUGAAGGUGUGCUGUGAGGCAUGCUGGAGGUAUCAGAAGUGCGAAUGCUGACAUAAGUAACGAUAAAGCGGGUGAAAAGCCCGCUCGCCGGAAGACCAAGGGUUCCUGUCCAACGUUAAUCGGGGCAGGGUGAGUCGACCCCUAAGGCGAGGCCGAAAGGCGUAGUCGAUGGGAAACAGGUUAAUAUUCCUGUACUUGGUGUUACUGCGAAGGGGGGACGGAGAAGGCUAUGUUGGCCGGGCGACGGUUGUCCCGGUUUAAGCGUGUAGGCUGGUUUUCCAGGCAAAUCCGGAAAACUAAGGCUGAGGCGUGAUGACGAGGCACUACGGUGCUGAAGCAACAAAUGCCCUGCUUCCAGGAAAAGCCUCUAAGCAUCAGGUAACAUCAAAUCGUACCCCAAACCGACACAGGUGGUCAGGUAGAGAAUACCAAGGCGCUUGAGAGAACUCGGGUGAAGGAACUAGGCAAAAUGGUGCCGUAACUUCGGGAGAAGGCACGCUGAUAUGUAGGUGAAGCGACUUGCUCGUGGAGCUGAAAUCAGUCGAAGAUACCAGCUGGCUGCAACUGUUUAUUAAAAACACAGCACUGUGCAAACACGAAAGUGGACGUAUACGGUGUGACGCCUGCCCGGUGCCGGAAGGUUAAUUGAUGGGGUCAGCGCAAGCGAAGCUCUUGAUCGAAGCCCCGGUAAACGGCGGCCGUAACUAUAACGGUCCUAAGGUAGCGAAAUUCCUUGUCGGGUAAGUUCCGACCUGCACGAAUGGCGUAAUGAUGGCCAGGCUGUCUCCACCCGAGACUCAGUGAAAUUGAACUCGCUGUGAAGAUGCAGUGUACCCGCGGCAAGACGGAAAGACCCCGUGAACCUUUACUAUAGCUUGACACUGAACAUUGAGCCUUGAUGUGUAGGAUAGGUGGGAGGCUUUGAAGUGUGGACGCCAGUCUGCAUGGAGCCGACCUUGAAAUACCACCCUUUAAUGUUUGAUGUUCUAACGUUGACCCGUGAUCCGGGUUGCGGACAGUGUCUGGUGGGUAGUUUGACUGGGGCGGUCUCCUCCUAAAGAGUAACGGAGGAGCACGAAGGUUGGCUAAUCCUGGUCGGACAUCAGGAGGUUAGUGCAAUGGCAUAAGCCAGCUUGACUGCGAGCGUGACGGCGCGAGCAGGUGCGAAAGCAGGUCAUAGUGAUCCGGUGGUUCUGAAUGGAAGGGCCAUCGCUCAACGGAUAAAAGGUACUCCGGGGAUAACAGGCUGAUACCGCCCAAGAGUUCAUAUCGACGGCGGUGUUUGGCACCUCGAUGUCGGCUCAUCACAUCCUGGGGCUGAAGUAGGUCCCAAGGGUAUGGCUGUUCGCCAUUUAAAGUGGUACGCGAGCUGGGUUUAGAACGUCGUGAGACAGUUCGGUCCCUAUCUGCCGUGGGCGCUGGAGAACUGAGGGGGGCUGCUCCUAGUACGAGAGGACCGGAGUGGACGCAUCACUGGUGUUCGGGUUGUCAUGCCAAUGGCACUGCCCGGUAGCUAAAUGCGGAAGAGAUAAGUGCUGAAAGCAUCUAAGCACGAAACUUGCCCCGAGAUGAGUUCUCCCUGACUCCUUGAGAGUCCUGAAGGAACGUUGAAGACGACGACGUUGAUAGGCCGGGUGUGUAAGCGCAGCGAUGCGUUGAGCUAACCGGUACUAAUGAACCGUGAGGCUUAACCUUACAACGCCGAAG
RNAcentral lists this ribosomal RNA (2925 nucleotides) under Escherichia coli. Its description in RNAcentral is "partial 23S ribosomal RNA". It matches the Rfam family "Bacterial large subunit ribosomal RNA". Lineage: Bacteria; Pseudomonadati; Pseudomonadota; Gammaproteobacteria; Enterobacterales; Enterobacteriaceae. The record is from RNAcentral.